RNAcentral lists this ribosomal RNA (814 nucleotides) under Escherichia coli. RNAcentral's name for it is "bacterial LSU rRNA". It matches the Rfam family "Bacterial large subunit ribosomal RNA", at positions 397 to 1212 of the family's 2925-position model. The record is from RNAcentral. Lineage: Bacteria; Pseudomonadati; Pseudomonadota; Gammaproteobacteria; Enterobacterales; Enterobacteriaceae.
CUGUGAGCUCGAUGAGUAGGGCGGGACACGUGGUAUCCUGUCUGAAUAUGGGGGGACCAUCCUCCAAGGCUAAAUACUCCUGACUGACCGAUAGUGAACCAGUACCGUGAGGGAAAGGCGAAAAGAACCCCGGCGAGGGGAGUGAAAAAGAACCUGAAACCGUGUACGUACAAGCAGUGGGAGCCUCUUUUAUGGGGUGACUGCGUACCUUUUGUAUAAUGGGUCAGCGACUUAUAUUCUGUAGCAAGGUUAACCGAAUAGGGGAGCCGAAGGGAAACCGAGUCUUAACUGGGCGUUAAGUUGCAGGGUAUAGACCCGAAACCCGGUGAUCUAGCCAUGGGCAGGUUGAAGGUUGGGUAACACUAACUGGAGGACCGAACCGACUAAUGUUGAAAAAUUAGCGGAUGACUUGUGGCUGGGGGUGAAAGGCCAAUCAAACCGGGAGAUAGCUGGUUCUCCCCGAAAGCUAUUUAGGUAGCGCCUCGUGAAUUCAUCUCCGGGGGUAGAGCACUGUUUCGGCAAGGGGGUCAUCCCGACUUACCAACCCGAUGCAAACUGCGAAUACCGGAGAAUGUUAUCACGGGAGACACACGGCGGGUGCUAACGUCCGUCGUGAAGAGGGAAACAACCCAGACCGCCAGCUAAGGUCCCAAAGUCAUGGUUAAGUGGGAAACGAUGUGGGAAGGCCCAGACAGCCAGGAUGUUGGCUUAGAAGCAGCCAUCAUUUAAAGAAAGCGUAAUAGCUCACUGGUCGAGUCGGCCUGCGCGGAAGAUGUAACGGGGCUAAACCAUGCACCGAAGCUGCGGCAGCGAC